RNAcentral lists this unclassified non-coding RNA (194 nucleotides) under rhizosphere metagenome. RNAcentral's name for it is "partial ribosomal RNA internal transcribed spacer region". The record is from RNAcentral.
GAAUUUUAGGGCGUCUACUUCGGUAGAGCCUGACCUCCACUCUCUAACACUGUGCACUCAUUGGCGGGAAAAAUUAUAAAAGAGUAGUAAUACUUUGGAAUAUGAUUUCCUGCGGCUCACUUUAAACAUUAGUCAAAGUAUGUAACGAAAUAUCGAAAUAAAAAAAAACUUUCAACAACGGAUCUCUUGGCUCU